UAGGACGUUGAAACCCUGGUUCUCGUGCGAUCGACGAAAUUAAGCAGCAUCAAGCCUGGUCAGUACCGAGAUGGGUGAUAGUUUGGGAAUAUCAGGUACUGUAAG
Non-coding RNA from Acanthosepion pharaonis, 105 nucleotides. NCBI's taxonomy places the organism in Eukaryota, Metazoa, Mollusca, Cephalopoda, Sepiida, Sepiidae. The record is from the annotation of a GenBank genome assembly.